UGCGUAGGUGGCCUUUUAAGUUGGAUGUGAAAUACCCGGGCUUAACUUGGGGGUGCAUCUAAUACUGGGAGGCUAGAGUGCAGGAGAGGGAAGCGGAAUUCCUAGUGUAGCGGUGAAAUGCGUAGAUAUUAGGAGGAACACCAGUGGCGAAGGCGGCUUUCUGGACUGUAACUGACACUGAGGCACGAAAGCGUGGGGAGCGAACGG
This 207-nucleotide ribosomal RNA is filed under the name uncultured Bacillota bacterium. Its description in RNAcentral is "uncultured Firmicutes bacterium partial 16S ribosomal RNA". It matches the Rfam family "Bacterial small subunit ribosomal RNA", at positions 568 to 775 of the family's 1533-position model. Lineage: Bacteria; Bacillati; Bacillota. The record is from RNAcentral.